GACGAGGACGCCCGCCAGGGCAACGCCACGGCGCACCGGAAGGCGUUCCCGGUGCUGUCCUUCAACUACGAGCACGUCCGGAAGCCCUUCGAGAUCUCGCUGUGGAUCCUACUCGCUCUGCUCAUGAAACUCGGCUUCCACGUCAUCCCGCGAGUGUCCCGCGUGGUGCCCGAGAGCUGCCUGCUGAUCUUCGUGGGGCUGCUGGUGGGCGGAGUCAUCAAGGCCGUCCGGCGGACGGCGCCCGUGCUGGACGCCGAGCUCUUCUUCCUCUACCUGCUGCCGCCCAUCAUCCUGGACGCCGGCUACUUCCUGCCCGUCCGGCCCUUCGCCGAGAACCUGGGCGCCAUCCUGGCCUUCGCCGUGGCGGGCACCUUGUGGAACGCCUUCUUCGUGGGCGGCGGCGUGUACGCCGCGUGCCGGCUGGAGGGCGAGCGGCUGGCCGACGUGGACCCGCUGUCCUGCCUGCUCUUCGGCUCCAUCGUGUCGGCCGUGGACCCCGUGGCCGUGCUGGCCGUCUUCGAGGAGAUCCGCAUCGACGAGCUGCUGCACGUGCUGGUCUUCGGCGAGUCGCUGCUCAACGACGCCGUCACCGUGGUGCUGUACCACCUGUUGGAGGAGUUCUCCCACGCCGGCGCGGUGACGGCGACCGACGCCCUGCUGGGGGCGCUGUGCUUCUUGGCGGUGUCGUGCGGCGGCGUCCUGGUGGGCGUGGUCUACGGGCUGCUGGGCGCCUUCACGUCCCGCUUCACGUCGCGCACGCGCGUCAUCGAGCCGCUCUUCGUCUUCCUGUACAGCUACAUGGCGUACCUGUCGGCCGAGGUCUUCCGCCUGUCGGGCAUCAUGUCGUUGAUCGCGUGCGGCGUGGUGAUGCGUCCGUACGUGGAGGCCAACAUCUCGCACAAGUCCUACACCACCGUCAAGUACUUCCUGAAGAUGUGGAGCAGCGUGAGCGAGACGCUCAUCUUCAUCUUCCUCGGCGUGUCCACCGUGGCGGGGCCGCACGCUUGGAACUGGACCUUCGUGGCGGCCACCGUGCUCCUCUGCCUCGUCUCCCGAGUGCUCGGCGUGGUGGGCCUGACGUUGCUCAUCAACAAGUUCCGCAUGGUCAAGCUGAGCAAAAAGGAGCAGUUCAUCGUGGCCUACGGCGGCCUGCGAGGCGCCGUCGCCUUCUCGCUGGGCUUCCUGCUGACCGACAGCGAGAUCAAGCACUUGUUCCUCACCGCCAUCAUCACCGUCAUCUUCUUCACCGUCUUCGUCCAGGGGAUGACCAUCAGGCCUCUGGUGGAGCUUCUGGAAGUGAAGAAGAAGAGAGAGUGCGACGGCUCCAUCAACGAGGAGAUUCACACGCAGUUCCUGGAUCAUCUCCUUGUGGGAAUCGAGGACAUCUGCGGUCAUUACGGACACCAUCACUGGAAAGACAAGCUGAGCCGCUUCAACGAGGCCUACGUGAAGAAGUGGCUGAUUGCGGGCGAUCGCUCCAGCGAGCCGCAGCUGCUGUCCUUCUACAACAAGAUGGAGAUGAAGCAGGCCAUGAUGAUGGUCGAGAGCGGCGGCGGCGGCUUCAAACCGCCUUCCGUGGAGCCGAAUAUCGAAGCCGGACGCGGGACCCGCGUCUCCGAUCGUCGCCAGAAGGAAAUCCGAAAGAUGCUGCAGGCCAACGUGCAGAAGAACAGACAGCGGCUUCGUUCCUACAGCCGACACGACCUGAUGCUCGACCCGUUCGAAGACGACGUGAGCGAGGUUCGCUUCAGGAAGCAGCAAGUGGCGAUGGAGAGGAGGGUGAGUGCGCACCAACGGCCUGAAAAACAAAUAGGGUCACUUCCUCCCCCUAAAAGCGACGCUGGCGAUUGGCUCUCUCCGGUCAGGUGCCAUUCUGACAACGUCGUCUCAAACGUGACAUAUUUUUCCAAAUAUGACCUCGAAGCGUGACACUUUUGAACCUGGACCUUGGAGCAGUUUUGCAUGGAAUGUUCACCUAUCAAAAUUGGGAACAUCUGUCAUUAGGCUGUGCACGGAAAAUGCAACAAAAACAUUUGUAUCAUUUAGGCUUGAUCAUCUUUUGUUCCUAGUUUGCCAUUAGUGUAAAGAACAAAUAUGUGGUUAGUGCCAAAAGAAUGACGUGUGCUUUGGAUGGGCUUUUUUCAAAAGAAAGAAAAGUCAUCCAAAGGUAAAUCAAAUGUCAGGACUUCUCUGACGUCGAGUAAGUCAUUCCGUGAAAACGAAUGCUUUGCAUCGUACAGAUGAGCCACUACCUGACAGUGCCCGCAAAAAGCCCGCCAGCGCCGGCGUCUGUGAGACGGGUCGCCUUCCGACCAGAACACCGAGUUUACACGUACGACGACAGCCGGAGCGCCCGAGACCCGGCGGGGGCCCGGCCGGACCCGAGCU
This is an RNA transcript of Phyllopteryx taeniolatus (common seadragon), 2388 nucleotides long. It is a transcript of the gene named solute carrier family 9 member A1b, with no coding region annotated. The transcript is spliced from 11 exons. The record is from RefSeq and is a predicted model, not a curated record. NCBI's taxonomy places the organism in Eukaryota, Metazoa, Chordata, Actinopteri, Syngnathiformes, Syngnathidae.